RNAcentral lists this ribosomal RNA (890 nucleotides) under Phaeobotryon aplosporum. RNAcentral describes it as "partial large subunit ribosomal RNA". It matches the Rfam family "Eukaryotic large subunit ribosomal RNA", at positions 56 to 965 of the family's 3401-position model. Lineage: Eukaryota; Fungi; Ascomycota; Dothideomycetes; Botryosphaeriales; Botryosphaeriaceae. The record is from RNAcentral.
GGGAGAGAGCAACAGGGAUUGCCUUAGUAACGGCGAGUGAAGCGGCAACAGCUCAAAUUUGAAAGCUGGCUCCUUCGGAGUCCGCAUUGUAAUUUGUAGAGGAUGAUUCGGCGAGGGCUCCCGCCUAAGUCCACUGGAACGUGGCGUCAUAGAGGGUGAGAAUCCCGUAUGUGGUGGGCUGCCUUAGCCAUGUGAAUCUCCUUCGACGAGUCGAGUUGUUUGGGAAUGCAGCUCUAAAUGGGAGGUAAAUUUCUUCUAAAGCUAAAUACCGGCCAGAGACCGAUAGCGCACAAGUAGAGUGAUCGAAAGAUGAAAAGCACUUUGGAAAGAGAGUUAAAAAGUACGUGAAAUUGUUGAAAGGGAAGGGCUUGCAACCAGACUUGUCCGCAGUUGCUCAGCCGGUCUCCUGACCGGCGUACUCUUCUGCGGCCAGGCCAGCAUCAGUUCGGGCGGUCGGAUAAAGACCUAGGGAAUGUAGCUCCUCUCGGGGAGUGUUAUAGCCCUGGGUGGAAUGCGGCCAGCCUGGACUGAGGAUCUCGCUUCGGCAAGGAUGCUGGCGUAAUGGUUGUAAGCCGCCCGUCUUGAAACACGGACCAAGGAGUCUAACAUCUAUGCGAGUGUUUGGGUGUCAAACCCAUACGCGUAAUGAAAGUGAACGGAGGUGGGAACCCGCAAGGGCGCACCAUCGGCCGAUCCUGAUGUCUUCGGAUGGAUUUGAGCAAGAGCAUAGCUGUUGGGACCCGAAAGAUGGUGAACUAUGCCUGAAUAGGGUGAAGCCAGAGGAAACUCUGGUGGAGGCUCGCAGCGGUUCUGACGUGCAAAUCGAUCGUCAAAUUUGGGUAUAGGGGCGAAAGACUAAUCGAACCAUCUAGUAGCUGGUUCCUGCCGGU